ACGGGUGAGAUAACACGUAAAGAACCUGCCCUCAGGUCUGGGAUAACCACGAGAAAUCGGGGCUAAUACCGGAUGGGUCAUCGGACCGCAUGGUCCGAGGAUGAAAGGCGCUCCGGCGUCGCCUGGGGAUGGCUUUGCGGUGCAUUAGCUAGUUGGUGGGGUAACGGCCCACCAAGGCGACGAUGCAUAGCCGACCUGAGAGGGUGAUCGGCCACACUGGGACUGAGACACGGCCCAGACUCCUACGGGAGGCAGCAGUAGGGAAUCUUCCACAAUGGACGAAAGUCUGAUGGAGCAACGCCGCGUGGACGAUGAAGGCCUUCGGGUCGUAAAGUUCUGUUGUAAG
Molecule: ribosomal RNA, 346 nt
Filed under: uncultured Exiguobacterium sp.
Lineage: Bacteria; Bacillati; Bacillota; Bacilli; Caryophanales
Description: bacterial SSU rRNA
Rfam family: Bacterial small subunit ribosomal RNA
Source: RNAcentral